GAGCCUGCUUGGCAUGUUUAAGGUACUGCAGGAAGGUGAGUGUAACUGUUUGGAGCAAGCAGGGAACAGCCGGAGUCUAAUAUGCGGUUUCCAGUAGAAUGACGUGAAUGCUAGCGGGAAAAUACGAUCAACAUUAGUAUUUUUACCGGCCUGUAAUACAAUACCUUGGAGCACAAUAUAUUUUUUUUCUGACUUUUGAGUGCAGGUGUAUUUGUAAAGAAGAGGAUAAGGUAUAAUAUGUACAACUUACAUUUGAGCAGUGUUGUGAAGUACUUUCACACAUUAUUUUGAGACUCCAGGAUUUUUUUAAAUCCCAUUUUCUCAGAUGAGAACCCUCGAUUCUCACAGAUCAGAAUGUCUGCACUUUGCCUGAGCUCCGCGUUAAUGCGAGGCGGUAGCAGAACCCAGAUCUUCUGGACCCAAAUUCACUCCUUUGUGCUGCCCUCGUCGCUUAGAUAUGGUGAGAUGACCAACGGGACCAUAGAAGGCAGGAUGUUCGGGAAAGGUUGCCUGACAGAUCGUUCAUUCAUUCGUCCACACUUGAGAUGUGAUUGUGCCAAGCCCUCAGCAAGGCGGGGGUCCCUCAGCGAGGCUGGGGGUGCAAGGACAACGAGAGUCCUGGCCUCAAGGAACUCACGGUGUCCCGCAGAGGACACAGGCGGCAAGGGGACGAUGGCUAGAGCAGAGCGCCGAUCGAGUAGUUGGGAGCGCUUCCCGAACGCCCAAGGCGGGUGAGGCCGGCGCAGAGCUGGGUGCGUGCCCGUGUGACUUAAACAAGGAGGCCCGUGUGACUUAAACAAGGAGGCCACUCACUGAGGUGAGUGGUACCCCAACAGCCUACCCAAGCACACCCAGCCCUAAGCCUGCCAGUGCCUCAAGGAGAGAUCAAAACUAAGAACAGCCAGUCACAAACAGCCACGUGGGCUUUUCCAAUGAAUGCAACGGCUUGAGCGACAGCCACCCAAACACUGUCGUUGCUUUGUGCCCGCCUCUCCCCAGGCUCCCGUUGGUGGCGUGUGCCUCCCCACUUCUCGUCUGAAGCUGCCCGGCUGGAGAUCUUUACUCAAGCCCUGAAAGUGUUUCACAUGCCUCAGUUUAUCUUGUAGCACCAGGUGCCAGCACAUCGGCUCAAACACUCUGCUCAUCUGCUCGUCUCUCGGCCAAUGCCCUUCGUGGAGCGUUCUCUGAGGCAGCCCCUCCUUUGUGUCUGUGCCGUCUGGACUGUGAGCUCCGUACGGAUGGUGAGGAUUAUCCGUUGAUAUCGUUUCCCCGGGCCUGCCCAGAACCCAGCCAAGAUGGACAGGGCUGACCUGUCAUUGGGCUGCUGGGCGUGGGCCGGCCACACACGCUCCCGGGUUUGCAGAAUUGAGCUGUGCACCAGUCUGUCGAGCGGGAGCCGGGGGGGGGAGUGGGCGUGUCUGCACAGUGUCAGUGGUGGCCGCUGGGAAAGAGAAAGGAGCCGUUUCUGGGUGCCUGUCAUUUCUAAAUGCCAUCAGAAUCCACCUCAUUUUCUAAGCUAGAAUCUUGUAAUCACCUCUGUUCCUUCUUCACUUGCUACCCGCCUCCCCAUCUAUCCAGUCACUAGCUCCUGUCAGUCCCGAGCCUCCCUGCGUCUCGCCACCGUCACUGCAGAUUCCACAGCCCAGGCCCUCAUUAGUGCUCGCUCGUCUGGAAUCAAUGGCUCCUUACUGGUCUUGCUCCCCAGCUCUCCCGCCCUUCAUUCCUCCUCUCCUUUGUCCUCCCACUGCUGCCAGGGUGGGCUUGCUGAAGCAGGUCUGAUCCUGUCCCCAUCCCGAGAGCAGCAUCCUGGGGGACUCCCCCUGCCCUGCAAGAGAGAGUCCAAAUCUCCAUCCACCUUGCACCAGUUUCUCCCCUUUGGCCACCCGCUCGCCCACAGGGUAACACAGUCUCCCGAGACUCUGCACCAUGGCCUUGGCCCUGCUGUUUCUAAGCCUGUGUGGUUCUCCCACGUUUCAAGACCCAACUCAGGGGCUCCUUCCUCUAUCAGGAGGCCGGCACAGUGAGCUCGUGGGGAGAGGUUAACUCUAGGGAAAAAAAGGAAAAAGAGGGCCAGAGUUAUAAGAUUUGUAAUCUGUUAAUGCAUGUCUGUUCCAGCUGCUGGUGUAUUUGUCUCUGUGAGUCGCUUAGCUCCUGGAGGACAAGAAUUGUGUGUUGUGUUUAUAUCCUUUGCACACAGCCUAAGUACUCAGCAAAUAUUUGUGAAGUAAACGAGGCUGGAGCUGGGAGGGAACAAAUGUUUGUUGAGAACCUAUUGUGAACCUAUAUGCUUUUCACAUAUUUCAUUCCCAAAACAACUUUUUGAGAGACAUAUUAUUUGCUAACAAGAAAACAGGCUUAAAUAAAUAGUGGGUUUCCUCAAGGUCGUAGGCGUGUAAGGAGUGGAGCGAGAGUUGGAACCUAAGUCUGUCCGGCUAAAACUGUCCUUGACUGAGUAGUUCUCAGCCAGGGGCCGUCUUGUCCCCAACUCGGGGCACACGUGCAGUUGUUACUGGUGGGUAGGGUCACUGAUGUCCAGUGGGCAGAGGCCAGGGGCGCUGCGGAACAGCCCCCACUGCCUGGACAUGCCCCACGACAAAGACGCAUCUGACCCCAAGCGUCAGCAGUGGCCAGAUGGAGAAACCUUGCCCCAGACCUUGCUGACUCUAUUGAAAAGCAGAUAACCGACCAAAACGAAAGCUUCCCUAAGGAAGCGGACUGGGCUGAAGGAAGCCGUCAGGGCUGGGGGCAGUCCUGAGCCUUGGGCCCUGCUGGGUGUGAGGCCUCCCUGGCCAGUCCAGACUGCCCCAAUCCUAGGCUGCCUCCACACCGUCUUUCUUCUUCCCAUCUUCUCCUCACUUUUUCUUUCCCUCGGCACCCUCCAGUGUAGCUUCGAGAAGGCACCCAGAUCCCUCCAACGCUUUCAGAACUCUUCCUAGCUAGAAGGUAGUCAGUGUGUAAGGAGCCGCAGGUUUCAAACUGACACCAUCCCUAGAAUCUGGGAACGAGGCCAGAAACGUCAGCUUCUGAAAUUGACAGCAAAAGGUGGGUGAGAUUCCUCGCAGUGAUAAUCUUCCCGGGAAAGAACCCACCUAAGAAAUUCUGGCCAAGUUUGCCGCUGAUAAGGCUUGGCAGUUUCCUCGUCGCUGUCAGGGCCCAAGAAUGCCUCCCCGUGAAGGGAAGCACUUAAAACCCACUUGUGUGAGAUCCGCCAUAAUCUAGGAAAUUUUAAAAUGCUUGUCCCCGGGGAAGUGCCCCAGUGGGAAGCUUUUAAUGACUCGUAAGUGUGGCUGCCUGUAAUUGUCAGGGAUGUGUGCACGUGUGUGUGUGUGUGUGUGCGCGCGCGUUUUCUCAGCAUUGUAAACUCCAGGAGGAAGGAACCAGCUUUACUUCAUCGGCAGCCCUGGCAGUGAAGGUGCGGGCGAGCCAUCAACAGCCAGAGCGCGUGGGAAUUUGUGGCGGUGCGUGUGCACAGGGGCAGAGGGAGGGCACGAAAGUACUAUUCCUAGUGAAAUGAUUCUUCACCAGAAAGCUGAGAACUGCUGUUGCAUGCAAAAUUGCGUGUGUGUAUGUGUGCCCAUUUUUUGGUGGAAAAUAUCUGUAGCCUUCUUCAAAGGGGCCCUUGAGGUCCAAAGAAUGAAGCCCCCAGCCCUGGUGAUGGCCCACAGCUCCUGGGCCAAUGAGAUAGGAAGAAGAUAACCCAGGGAAGACAAGGGAGGCGAGUUCCUCCCCGGAGAGAGUGGUUUCUCUUCAGCACUGGGAUUUAUCAAUGGCAAGCAUGAAGCCCCUUUGUGCACAUAUAUAAGCAUGCAUGGGGCGGUGGGGGGGGGCGAGACAAGCUGUAAGCAAACAUCAGGCAGGACAGAGUCCAACCUCAAGGAUGCUGGAGAAAAGUUACACAGGGUCAUGGGAGUGCCAGGAGAGAAUGAGAGAGAGAGAGAGAGAUCGAGCAAAUCUGUGCCAACAUGGAUGCUGACUUUGGGUCUCGCAGGUGCCUGGGGAGUAAGAGAAGGGUCCUGUGAGGCUUUCUAGGAGGCAGAUGACGGAGGUAGAUGGACUCCUUUGGUGGUUUUUCUCGAAGAUACUGUCAGCUGUCAGUUAUAGAAACCGACUUUAGCUAGGGGACUUCUUCAAAAAACUCCUGGGAUGGUCAUAAACUCCAAAGGAAAAGCUGAGCGAGGAAGUCUACAGGGCAAGUAACGGGGCAGCUUGGGGACUCCCCGAGUGACUUCCAGUUCCUGGAUCUUUGUGUCUGGGUUUUACAUCUCCAGGAAGGAAGGUGGCUGUGGGGACUGGUCCCAGAGAGGAGGAGACCAUGUCGUUGGCUGCAGCCAUGACCACUGUUGGCUCGGAGCAGGUGUCCUCUCUUGAAAAGGUGGGAGACCUGUAGCUGAGUCUUCUGACUGGUCACACAGCCUGCGCCCUCGAGGCAUAUUCUUAAUUCCUUACCGUUUGAAAAUCUAAUUAAUAGGAACGGGGUGGAAAUGGGGUGGGAGAAGUUUCACCCCAAGGAAACAAAAGUGCAGGAUGAACUUGGAAUCCCUGAAAUAGAAAGGAGAAUAAUUUGCAGGACUGGGGAGCGGAGGAAGGGCCUCCACAGACCUCGUGGACCACGGUGAGAAGUGAAGGGGUUUCCGCAGGUGACAUAGAAAACUGUUGGAGGGAUUCCGGCACAUAAAUUACGUUAAAUAAAAUCCCUCUGCCAGCCUAAUGGAGAACGUGUUCUAGAAAGACCCCCCUGGAGUUAUUACAGUCACACAGAUGCGAGGUGAUGGUGGCCAGGGUCAGGGAGUCAGCCGCCAGAUUCCAGACGUCACAACACCGGGCGGUGUGGGCUCGGCACCUGAGGGAGUCUAGCUGGACCGCAACGGGCAGAGGGGACAGGAAGCAGUCAGUCGGGUCAGAGAAAGGCCAUUUUGUUUUUAAAGCGCGGGCUGUUAAUUUGUAGCUUGGACAUGUAUCACUUAGUUUAUUUUGGACCCUUGCAUUUUUAUUUACAACUCCACCCUCAGAUUCGUCUAGGAACUGUCACACCCUUCCCAGCUCCACACUUUCCCUUACCUGAAUCAUUGGCAGGAUCUCUCUAGCUUCUCUGUGUGUUUGAGGGGCUGGCAGGAAUUCACUGUUAACGGGGGCCAGAAGGAAGGCCAAGUCUGCAAUACAUCUCUCCCUGGGCCUGUAAAUAUGUGUAUAAGGUCCAUUAACUGUAUUAAGUUGCCGUGGGUAAACCAGGCACUGACAGGCCAUUCUCAUAAACCACAUGCAGAAAUCCCACUUUGUGGAUUAUUUGCGAUAAAAUGUUAAUUUUCCAGAGUGUUCCAUUAAAGCCUGCCUAAGCUGUCUUCCUGCACUUUGCAUAUUUCUGGAGCCGCUCUCUUUACCCGUGUUUAGCAUUCGACUUGACUUUGGAAGCCGUCCAAGCAAAACAUAAGUAGACAGAUUAACCUUCCAGAAACGGACUUGCUGAGUUGAAGGUUCUGACACAUGUUGCUGAACUGUUCUACACAUUGUUUGUGUAUCCUUCCACCAACAACGGAUGCCUUUUCAGCCUGGAACAAAAAAAA
Ailuropoda melanoleuca (giant panda) is the source of this 5561-nucleotide long non-coding RNA. RefSeq lists it as uncharacterized. The record is from RefSeq and is a predicted model, not a curated record. Lineage: Eukaryota; Metazoa; Chordata; Mammalia; Carnivora; Ursidae. The transcript is spliced from 3 exons.